Long non-coding RNA from Carcharodon carcharias (great white shark), 1835 nucleotides. RefSeq lists it as uncharacterized. Lineage: Eukaryota; Metazoa; Chordata; Chondrichthyes; Lamniformes; Lamnidae. The transcript has 2 exons. The record is from RefSeq and is a predicted model, not a curated record.
GAAAGGGUAAAUAAGCAGCAGCGUGCGUGACCAAGGCGCGCACCAAGUUAGAAACUGACGUUUGUUAAUCUCACUGUCCACAGGGAAGCAGAAGGCCACAGAAGUGACAACGAGAGAACAGAGACCAAGUGUCACCUCGCGCCUUAAGCUGAACCAGAAAGCAAGAUCUGUAGUACAUGAGGAGGAGGAUGAAUAAAGGAACCUGUGCUCAAUGCUGCCUUCAUGAUGGCAGUGAUCUGAUUAAGGAGGGGAAGUGCCUGGCGCCGCCAAAUGCUUCGAAAGGAGACCCAGCCAGAGUUCCACGGUCCAGGGGAGCCCCAGCAAGACCCAGAGGAUGAGGAGGUGAGACCCAUCCCACGGAGGAGACUCUCACGAACACGGGUCUACCAAAAAUGACUUUCCUAUCUGCACAUGAGUGAAAGACAAUGCCUCUCACCUUUGUGCUUGUCAAGAGAUUUGGUAAAUCAUAUCUGCCAGGUUAUGUGGGAGGAUUUUAUGUCCCUGGACUGGGAGGACAUCCCCAGCCAGUGCCCCUGAAGGUCACCUCUGUGCUCAAUUUUUUUGCCUGUGGAUUGUUCCAGGGAUCCCCAGGGGGGCCUAUGUGGCAUCUCCCAGUCCUCAGCACAUUAUUGUACCAAGGAGGUGACAGAUGCCCUCAGUAAGGGCCAUCGUUAUGUGAAGUUCACACUCGAAGCUAGCCAGGCUGCUAGAGUUCUGGGGUUUGCAGCUGCAUCAUGCUUCCCUAGAGUACAGGGUGCAAUCGAUUGCACGUGUGGCAUUGAGAGCUCUGGCAGCAGCUCCUGAUGUUCAUUAACAGGAAAAGGUUCCACUCCUUGAACAUUCAACGGGUGUGCGAACAUCAGAGGCACAUCCAUGCUCCCAGAUAUCCUGGGAGUUCCCAUGACUCUCACAUCCUGAGUCACUCGCGGGUGCCUCACAUUCAAAGGGCCUCAGCAAUUGCAGGGCUGGCUGCUUGAGGAUAAGGGGUACCGGCUGAAACAAUGGCUCAUGACACCUCUACGUUGCCCUCAGAGUGCCUCAAAGAGAGAGAUACAAUGCGGCACCUAGCUCCACACGAUCCAUCAUCAGGGAGACCAUUGGCAUCCUGAAGAUGUGCUUCUGAUGUCUGGACCACGCAUUUGGAGCUCUGGAGUGGUCUCCAGAGAGUGUCGCCCAUAAUCAUGGUCUUCUACGCCCUUCACAACCUGGCACAUCAAAGGGGGGGACCCCCUGUCAGAGAGAGAUAUGGAGGAGGCUGGGAGCACCUCAGACAAUGAAGACCAGGAACCUGAAGAGGGAGAUGAGGGUCAGCUUCCACGUGAUGAUGUCAUCGAUGAAGCACAAUGUGGAAUAUGUGCCCGUCUCACACUGAUAGGCACAAGAUUCUAGGAGGAGUAAGGUGCUGGCAACAGGACACGGCCACAAUCCUCCUGUCCCUUUGUGCCAGGCCACUGGAAUGAAAUGCUUUUACAAUCAGUAACAUCCAGAGCAAGUUCAGCAUUCAGACUUGUACCUUCAAUCUCAUGAUUCACUAGGCCCUAAUCUUUGGAAUGGUCAGUGACAAACCUUGUAUCUGUGCGCUCUGGGAAGUGAAAGUUGUCACAUCAACACAAACAUUGCACCAAAAGACUUGAUGCACUCGUUGCCACCUUGAUGAGAAACUUUUAGCCAACACUAAAAAUGGUUGAAGAGAUGAUCAUGGCUGCAGGCCUUGUGCUUUGGCAUUAUCAAUGAAGACAGUCUUCUCAUUUUGAGGAACAAUUACAGUUAACCCUCCAAGGCUGGUGAGCACGCCUAACUCCAUGUUGUAAUGAGUAAAGGUUACUAAAACAUUC